This 301-nucleotide ribosomal RNA is filed under the name uncultured bacterium. RNAcentral describes it as "partial 16S ribosomal RNA". It matches the Rfam family "Bacterial small subunit ribosomal RNA", at positions 509 to 809 of the family's 1533-position model. The record is from RNAcentral.
CAGUAGCCGCGGGAAUACAGAGGGUGCGAGCGUUAAUCGGAUUUACUGGGCGUAAAGCGUGCGUAGGCGGCUAAUUGAGUCGGAUGUGAAAUCCCCGAGCUUAACUUGGGAAUUGCAUUCGAUACUGGUUAGCUAGAGUGUGGGAGAGGAUGGUAGAAUUCCAGGUGUAGCGGUGAAAUGCGUAGAGAUCUGGAGGAAUACCGAUGGCGAAGGCAGCCAUCUGGCCUAAUACUGACGCUGAGGUACGAAAGCAUGGGGAGCAAACAGGAUUAGAUACCCGUGUAGUCCCUGUCUCUUAUAA